CACACACAAGUUAGGCAUAAGUAAAUAAGUCUCCAUAAGUGAGCCUAACAGAAAUCAAACUUAUCAAGAACUUCACCUGCAACAACAUAGGGAAUAAAACCCUGAGUAUGGAAUUACUCAGCAAGACUGACCCGACUAAACAAAAGACUCUCAAGGGUAUGCUAGUUGAUUUGGAAAUCAAGGUAAAGGCUAUCAAUGUUCAAAGACUCAAGUUUUGCAUAAAAGCUUACUAAUACUUGGUCCUUAGGCCAUCUUUUACUUUUCAAGUUAAGUUCUUACCUUUAUCUAGAUUGGCCUAUUCUAGCUCAGUCACUUGGCCUAAUCUAGUUUUCUUUUAAAAUCAAAUCUUGUUUUACUUGUUAUCUACGAUGAUGGUCAGUGAUCUAGUCUCCAUAUCCGAGAAGUAAUGGCGAUUCGAAUCGAUUAGUACCCAGCUGAGGAUCUCCAACCACACGACAUAUGUAGCACUUAACCCUUGCAUAUGUCAACUCGCACCCGGGUUUCUCAAGACCAGAACGGGUCCCCGCCACCUGAGAGCUCAGUACCCCACCGUCCAACCUCUUGCCAGGUGGGUACACGAUACUCUCGCCAUCUCUCCACUCCUAGUGCGGGCCGGCCUUUCUGGUAUUGGUCCAGCCGAAGCUAAGCUUACCCAUGAUGAGGCAUGUGGCCAGUUAAAAGGUCCUAGAUCAUGUAGGCCAAUAAUCGUUACGGUCCUUAAACGACAUAGACGGACGACCUUUCCUGCUCAACGUCUGGUCUCAUUUUAAACUAUUUCUCAGAAACUUGUACUUGUCAGAGGUAAUCCGCUGGAAUGAUGAAUUCAUCAAGGCCUUUGACGCCUUCAUCAUUCCCAGCCUUUUUCUUUUGUAAAAACAUGAUUCAUAAAUCAAAAACAUUUUGUUCCUAAUCUAUAAGCAUACUAAGCAUUUCUAGCUUUGAAAAACAGGUAUCAAGGAUGAUAAUCAAUAUUCCAAGGAAUGGGAAUGCAUCAAAUGUUUAUUCACACAACUCCUACCACCUAAUGCAGCAUAUAAGUGAUAAAAGUUUUUAAAACACAAGGAAAGGGUUAAAUGCACCGGGGCUUGCCUUGAUGAGGAGGAGUGUCAGGCUCUUCCACAAGAAUAUCACAAUUAACCGGGUAACCUACUAGAGUACCUUCAGGAGGAACUGCAGCUGGAGAAGUUUCUGAUUGAGGAACUGAUUCCUCUCCCACUUCCACUUCAACCUCUUCUUCUAGGUGUUCUACAAGUCAAUUACAAGUACAUGAAUGCUUAUGUAAUGAUAUGCAAUGUAAACUCUCACAAGGGAGAGGUGGGAAAACAUAAACACUUGUAAAACAACCACAUGACCAGUUUAUACAUGUUGCUACAUAACUAAACAUUUGAUAAAGGGACCAAACUGAAUUUGUUUGUACAAACCCGAGAAACAAUUAUUCUAAAGUCUCCUAAACUUGCUACUCAUUAAUUUAUAUAAUUAAGUCUCCUUCUAAACAUAUAUUAGAAAUUGAUUUCAUGGAUUUAAAUAACUCUAUUUAGCUAUUCAAAGGUUUUCUGGUCAAACUAGCUCCAAAUAAGCUCAAACUUUUACCAAGAGCUAAUAUAGUGCUAAAUAGUUUUUCCACAAAUUUUCAUCAUUUUGGUGCUCUAGUUUUAAUUCUAAAAUUCAUUAAAGCCUUCUAAGGACACUUUUAAAUGACCUAUAAUUUAUUCUUUAUUUCAAAAAUAUUAAAAAUGAUUCUAACAGAGACUAUACAAUUUUUCGGACUUUAAAAAAUUAGUUUGGUAUUUUUUGCAUUUUUAUAAAUUUUCUGGUGAAUUUUACAAGCUGCCAGUAAAAAGAAAAAGAAAAGUUAUAUACAGUUCUGGGCCGAAUCGACGAACCUGGCCCACGAGUACAGGGAAAACCAGCCCAGCGCCGGUCACCCGCGCCCGCGCGCGCGGUUUUUCAUUCCGACCCCCGCUCAACUAAACAAUAAACUAAGAGUCUCGCGCACUAUUUCUAACAGUAGCUGACAAUAUCACCCCGACCCCUGGGUUUUGGUGCUUUUACAUUUUCUCAGACCCGAGCCUCCUCCGACGAGCCGCGGCCAACCAUCGCACGGACCCGCCGGCGGCGGCCAUCUCCGGCGAAGUCGAGCCCACCAUCGUGCUUCCCGAAGUUAACACACUACUUCCCCUAAGUUAAUCGGUCUCAAACAACCUAGAACUGCCCUGGCCACGACAACAGCGGAGAAACGAACUCCGACGAGGUCGGCCGAGGUCCCUAAUGCGGUAGCGUUCGAUUCCAGGAUGCUAUGAGCAUCAGUAACAUAUCUAAUACAUGGUGCUCACGUUGGUUUGCGCGGAGAAAGGAUGGCUUGGCCGGUCGACGUGAAGCUCAAUCACGGUGGCGUUCACUAGUGGCGUGGCGGCAUUCCAGGCGAUCUACAGUGGUAGCAUUCAAAACAACGGCUCGGUGAGCAUCACUGACAUACUAGGAUCACAAAACAUCAACUGAUCGAGCGUGCCUUACCACAGGAUGGACUGGCCACGGUGAGAUGGACAGUCGGCUUGCGUGGUCACCACUGUCUGUGUUCACCACACGCUCAUGGUGUUCCAGUGGAAUCCAAGGAUUGGGAUAGGUUGAGGGUGUGAUAUAUGUGUAGUAGAACAGCAGAGCAUGAUGGAACAACUAUGAAGUCGACCAGGGACAGUGGAGUUCAGUUUGUGACUUUAGAAUGGUUAGGGCAAACCAACCAAGGGCUGAGACUUCUAGGGUCUUUACUGGCUUUAACACAUGGCCAACAAGGGCUAGAGUGUUCCCCUCACCUCCAGCAAGGUUACCAGGCAUGGGCAAGGCACAGGGAAAGAACAGGUGUGGCCACAGCCCUAGGACAGCAACACAAAAACAGUAAAUAGAAUAGUUCACUAAUAAAUGAAUUUGCCACCUAUUCAACUCACUUCUAGACAUUUUGAACUUGUGGCAUGUACCCUCCCUUCUACAACAUGCCAGCACCAAGCCCCCCCCUUGGGUGUCAAACACUAGAAGCAACGAAAGAAUUUAUUUGCAACUGUUUGAACUGCACUGAUCUUCAUCAGGCUGAAAGCAGUCCAACCUUUCUCCCCUCUUUUCUCCAGUUUCCAAAAUAAUGACAAGCCAACUUCACUACAUCAAAGUGACUCACCACACAUAGCUCUUCCAUGUUACUAAAGCAUACCCAGGCCAAAAAUGUAUAGAACCAAAGUUAUCGUGCCCAAAAGUUGAGCAAAAUUUCACUGAACCAAAAGUUCAGUUAUCUGAAUCAAGCUCAAGUUUCACAGCCCGACAGGGUACUUUUGAGGACAUUUUACUCUCUAUUUUGUGUAGAACUAAACCUUACACACCACAGCAAUUUUGUUCUCCUUCAUAUGGUCUACCAACUUCCUAUAAACAUUUUAGUCCAAAACAUUAUGGAUCUGUCAUAAUAAAGUUCCAAAGUUGAGAUAAACUCACAAUUUCAGCCUCUGGUUUUUCACUCUGGAAUUCCAGAUCAAACAUAGGAUCUUUGGACCACUUUUGCUACCAGUUCCAAAUGUCUUUAGGGGUAGGGUUUUUAAUCAAAGUUGUACACCAGUAUGUGGUCUACCACUUUGGUGCAGCACUCUUGGUCCAUAACUAUAUGUAUCAGCCACUAAUAGGCUUCCAAAAUUGCUUCAGGUUGUAAAAACUGCAAAACUGAAUUUUUCCGAGCCUGAGAUUUCAGAACUUAACAUUCCAUCUUUGAGCAAAAUUUUCAACUAGUUCCAUAUGGUUUUAGGGCUAAGUGAUUUAAUCAAGUUUGUACACUUAUGUUAGCUCUACAACUUUGUUAAAAUGGCCAUCUUCAAACUGACCAUAGAUCAAAAGUUACUAAGGCCCAAAGAUAGCUAAUUGCUAAUAUUUUUCAGAAAUCAAAACCCUAAUUCAAAACUUAGUUUUAAGUUUUACUCUAUUUUUUUCUAUAAAAUUUGAAAAACCUCCACACAUAAAAGUUGUUGGGCUUGGAAAACUCUAUAACUUUGGUAUUUUGACUUUUGGCAAAACAUUGCCAGAUCAUAAGUUUUACUUUUGGGGUCAAAACUGGAGCUUUUCAAAACGGGGUUUUCUAUUCUCUGCUAAACACAACAUUACACUUAGAGUUUCUUGUUCCUAGUGAAUGCAUUCUAAGUAUAUUACAACACAAAGAUGUCAAUGCAUAUGAUGCCAUGCCAAAUUUUAGUUCUGGUAACACCAGGGGUGUUACAGCAGUCAAGAGGCCACAAAACCCCAAAACGCGCACUACCUGUCUCGGUCUCUCUAUAACACACGUCAUAGAACACGACUCUACACAAAUUUUGACAGUGAUUGAAAGAAGUUUAGGCAAAAUCAUGUUGUACCAGAAUACCAGCAUUUGAAGAGGACUCACUGGCGUCGAAGCGGUUGAAGAGGAAGGUGAUCGUCACGAGCAGCGAACAGAACACGAGCGCCGAGGCUGAUGGGGGAUGGGGUGGCGCCCUCGACUUGGACGUGUUCUUUAAUAGCAGUUGAUGUCAUCGAGGGCGCCGAGGAUGGUUCCCAUUCUCUGGCCGUCGAUGGAAGGUGGGAAUCGGCGAUGGAAGGUGGGAAUCGACGAUGGAUGGUGAUUGCGGUCUCGAUUUGGAUUUCCAUGUUCGAUGGAAUGGCACGGAUGGAGGAGAUUGCGUCCGCGUGGAUGGAGGAGAUUGGAGGCACGCGGAUUGCGAGCUGGGGGAUAACGAUGGUGGGGUUUGCGGCUGCGGUGCGGGAUGCGGGCGGGUGGAGGGGGAGGCUGGUGGAGCCGUCGGCGAGGCGGGGGGAGCGGGGGCAGCGGAGUCGGGGGCGUGGGGGAGCGGAGGGAACGACGCCGAAGCGUGGGCGCGGGGCGGGCCCAGAUGGCAGCGCGGGUGGUGAGACAGGGCUUAGCCGCGGUAUCGCGGGUGCCCACGUUACACGUUUAAUUAGUAGUAGGGAUGUAGUAGUAUGACCUGAUUCAUGACGGCUUGCAGCUUUCCCAUCCUCAAUAGAUGCGUACAAAAUUUAGUUUGAAUAUCUACUUGUUAACACGAAUUUGCGACAAAGGGGCCAGUAGACUGUAAAAUACAUUUUACAUUAGAUUCUUCGAGUAUACAAGAAACAAGAAGCAGACCAUGUCCUAAAUCAUACUCCCUCCGUCCCAAAAUAGUAUUCGUUUUAGCUCUAGAUUUUUAUGUCUAUAUUCAACUAGAUGGUGAUGAAUCUAGACACAUAUAUAGAGCACAUACAUAAAGUAUUGUAUGAACCUAUUAAUUAUUUAAAACGAAUUUUAAUUUGUGACGAAGGGAGUAGUAAACAAAUGACAACUCUUGUUUAAGUUCUGCAAGACUAGCCUCAGUGACUUGUGAAUAAUGACACAACUCACAAUUCCAAGCCCGACCAGGGUUUCAAUGGACCAUCCAGGGUUUCAACGGCUCUCUCGGAUUCUUCAACGGUCGGCUGUCGUGAUGCAGCCACAUUCAGUAUGUGAACACAGAGGCUGAUUUUUUCUUCACAUGACAGAUAUACCUAGAAUAGUUGGCAAAGCACAUUCACAACAACAAAAUUCUAAAAAGAUAUCCAUCUGGUGACAUCUAACUUGUCCUGAGAAGCAUUUUCAUUCAAUAUAAUUCCCAAGUGUCCACUACCCAUGUUCUCAAGAUGUAACAAACAGAAAAUAUCAUAGCACUCCAUCAUUUGUCACUCCCAAACUUGCAAAGUGAAAAACAUUAGGUAUGCAAACUUACUAACCUGGUGCCGCGCCGCUGGGCUGGUCUCCGCCAUUUGUGCGGCUGGGGCUUGUCCCAGUGCAAACUUACUGAACAGUAGGUAUGCAAAGUUACUCGACCAUUUGUGUGGCUCGGGCUGGUAAAGAAUAGGAACUGAAAUAAAUUGUAGUGAUGUAAGAGAAUGGUCACCGAACAAACUAAAAACAUGCCUUGUGUUUAACUUAAGGAAGUAGUUGUUCUGCAAAAUACUGAAUGAGUUAAAUUGCAUAAACAAAAUAGUAGAUAGUGUUGCUAGAUCCAACUAAAAUAAGGUAUUUUAACUUGUGCAUUUGGUACUGGUGUGCUAGUGUAAACAACCAAAUUUCUGAGGACUUCGUAGCUCAACAUAGAAAAUGUACUUCAACCUAUUCCACCUACUUUGGACUGUGCAAAUCAGAGGAUAUAAAGGUAUUACUGCAUAAAUCUUUGAUCCAAGAGACCCAAUAUCUGAUCUAUUUGCAAGAAACCAUUUAAACGUAUUUAAGUGCAAACUGAAUUAACAAGGAAGAAAAUAUAGACCUCAAAUGUUGUCCUGGAAAUUGUGAGGGUGUAUGAUUCCCAGAUCCAGCUCCAUUCGCAACAGAUUAGUUCCCCAUAAGUAAGAAAUAUAAAACAAGAGAAGCCAUAAAUCCAUCAAAACGCUAGCUAUCAGGUUGACUUCAAACGACGACAAGGCAAAGGAUAC
This 6462-nucleotide long non-coding RNA is filed under the name Zea mays. Its description in RNAcentral is "long non-coding RNA (ZMAY_LNC000001)". Lineage: Eukaryota; Viridiplantae; Streptophyta; Magnoliopsida; Poales; Poaceae. The record is from RNAcentral.